GGUAACAUAUAUACUAGCUUGCUAGAAGAUGACGAGUGGCGGACGGGUGAGUAAUGCUUGGGAACUUGCCUUUGCGAGGGGGAUAACAGUUGGAAACGACUGCUAAUACCGCAUAAUGUCUUCGGACCAAACGGGGCUUCGGCUCCGGCGCAAAGAGAGGCCCAAGUGAGAUUAGCUAGUUGGUAAGGUAACGGCUUACCAAGGCGACGAUCUCUAGCUGUUCUGAGAGGAAGAUCAGCCACACUGGGACUGAGACACGGCCCAGACUCCUACGGGAGGCAGCAGUGGGGAAUAUUGCACAAUGGGGGAAACCCUGAUGCAGCCAUGCCGCGUGUGUGAAGAAGGCCUUCGGGUUGUAAAGCACUUUCAGUUGUGAGGAAAAGUUAGUAGUUAAUACCUGCUAGCCGUGACGUUAACAACAGAAGAAGCACCGGCUAACUCCGUGCCAGCAGCCGCGGUAAUACGGAGGGUGCGAGCGUUAAUCGGAAUUACUGGGCGUAAAGCGCACGCAGGCGGUUUGUUAAGCUAGAUGUGAAAGCCCCGGGCUCAACCUGGGAUGGUCAUUUAGAACUGGCAGACUAGAGUCUUGGAGAGGGGAGUGGAAUUCCAGGUGUAGCGGUGAAAUGCGUAGAUAUCUGGAGGAACAUCAGUGGCGAAGGCGACUCCCUGGCCAAAGACUGACGCUCAUGUGCGAAAGUGUGGGUAGCGAACAGGAUUAGAUACCCUGGUAGUCCACACCGUAAACGCUGUCUACUAGCUGUGUGUGUCUUUAAGCGUGCGUAGCGAAGCUAACGCGCUAA
Molecule: ribosomal RNA, 800 nt
Filed under: Alteromonas macleodii
Lineage: Bacteria; Pseudomonadati; Pseudomonadota; Gammaproteobacteria; Alteromonadales; Alteromonadaceae
Description: bacterial SSU rRNA
Rfam family: Bacterial small subunit ribosomal RNA
Source: RNAcentral